Molecule: long non-coding RNA, 559 nt
Filed under: Medicago truncatula (barrel medic)
Lineage: Eukaryota; Viridiplantae; Streptophyta; Magnoliopsida; Fabales; Fabaceae
Description: lncRNA gene27600
Source: RNAcentral
UUUUUGUUGUUGUUGUUGAGGUUUUCCAAAAAAUUUCUGCUAGAGAGAAUUUUAUUUAAAUACAUGAAAUUUGAAAUUUAUUCAUCAUGUUAUGUGAGAUUAACCCCUUCAACAAAACUCAGCCCCAAUUCCAGUAAAAAAAAAAAAAAAAAAAAACUCAACCCUGGUUGGUCUAAUUUGCAUUGACAUCAUGUAGGUUCCAUUUUAUCUACUCUAUUAUUUUAAUUUCAUCAUUUCUGCAAAUUGAAUGUUUAACAAUAAUAUUCCAUAAAUUAUCAAGAAUUUACCAGUUCGUCCGCAAAAUGAGCUGAUUCAUUCGAAUUGGAAUGCACCAAUUUCCCUUUUUAUUAUGCUGAAAAUAGUCAUACUACAACUACAAGAUAUCCUCAGUUAAUGUUUGUUAUAAAAUAUUGUCCUUCCCUCAAAAAUAAAAUACUGUCCUGUCAUUGAUGUGAAUCAUGUGAUUUCCAGUUCAUUUUUUAUUUCAAUUAGGCAACAGACUUGUAUUAGUUGUAUAAUUAAUGAAAUUAUUGAAGAUAAUAAAACCAGAAAAUUGACU